This 241-nucleotide ribosomal RNA is filed under the name uncultured bacterium. Its description in RNAcentral is "partial 16S ribosomal RNA". It matches the Rfam family "Bacterial small subunit ribosomal RNA", at positions 93 to 334 of the family's 1533-position model. The record is from RNAcentral.
AAGCGGCGGACGGGUGAGUAACGCGUGGGUAACCUACCCUGUACACACGGAUAACAUACCGAAAGGUAUGCUAAUACGGGAUAAUAUAUUUGAGAGGCAUCUCUUAAAUAUCAAAGGUGAGCCAGUACAGGAUGGACCCGCGUCUGAUUAGCUAGUUGGUAAGGUAACGGCUUACCAAGGCGACGAUCAGUAGCCGACCUGAGAGGGUGAUCGGCCACAUUGGAACCGAGACACGGUCCAA